This 112-nucleotide small nucleolar RNA is filed under the name Cucumis melo (muskmelon). RNAcentral describes it as "Small nucleolar RNA Z152/R70/R12/". It matches the Rfam family "Small nucleolar RNA Z152/R70/R12/". Rfam says of the family: Z152 is a member of the C/D class of snoRNA which contain the C (UGAUGA) and D (CUGA) box motifs. Lineage: Eukaryota; Viridiplantae; Streptophyta; Magnoliopsida; Cucurbitales; Cucurbitaceae. The record is from Rfam by way of RNAcentral.
GAAGCUAUGAUGAGAUUAAACACUUUGAUGUGUUAUGGGCAGUGGACAUAGCUUUUAGUUAAGUUAUGCCGUGAGCCUAUAUAUUAAACGACUUCUCCUUCCACUGAGCUUC